This 420-nucleotide ribosomal RNA is filed under the name Triticum aestivum (bread wheat). RNAcentral's name for it is "partial small subunit ribosomal RNA". Lineage: Eukaryota; Viridiplantae; Streptophyta; Magnoliopsida; Poales; Poaceae. The record is from RNAcentral.
AUGGCGGAGUCGCCCGAGAACACCACCGCGGCGCCCGCCGCUCCUCCCGCCCCCGCCCCGGCCCCGGCGCCGAAGCCGUCCCCGCCCGCCAGGUCCGGGAUCCCACCGCGGUACGACCUCGACGCCAAGUGGGACGCCUGCCUCGACCUCUCCAUCCGCCGCGUCGCCCACUCCUCCCUCGCCGGCGCCUUCGGGGGCCUCAUCCUCUUCCCCCCUGCGCCACCGCCCUCUCUCCUCUCCUCCCCUACUCCCUCACCCAUCUCUCUCCCCCGUAGACGAACCCCGCCGCCAGGAGGCCGCCAUGGAGGCCCGUCCCGAGAUUGCUUCGCUGCUCCUUCAGUGACCCUCGUUGCGCCUGGAUCCGAGCGGAUCCGACGAUUCCCCGACGCGCAGAAUACCGACGAGUCAACGGACACAUGA